GGCGCUUUCGUUGGCAGAGAGCGCGUGAGAAUCACCACCCACGGAACAGAGGGAGACAGCGCAAGAAGGGGCAACUCCCAGCUGCGGGAAUAGUGGAAACAACGCCACCUGAUUGUGUCUGGCAGGCUCGCGGAGGGGUGAAGAAAGCUGGCACUUUUCCCCUUAGUGCCAUUUUAUGCUUUUUAAUACUGUGAUCAACAUAAUUAUGUAUAUAGCUUUGGGCAGUUGGUCAGUGAUCUCCACAGAGCUCAUGAAGACAUGAAGUUUCUCUCUGCUGUUUUCUUUCUCCUCCAAGUCCCCAGCCCAUGGAACAUUUCUUUUAAAACUCGAAAUGGCUACUUAAGCAGUGGUUCAAGAGAGUCAAAGGGCAGGGAAGAGCAGUGUGACCACUAGUGAUGACAGCAUUUAUGUGAAUCCAGCCCGCUGCAAAUCACAAGAGCCCAGCUGAUAAUGAUCCACACCCAGCUCUUAGCUCUCAGCGUGUGAAAACAGAGAAGGUAGGACUGGUGGGGAACUGUAGACCCAUUUUCCUAAAAGACGCGGUUGCUAUUCACUCAAUUUCUGUCUUUGAAAGUGAGCCGCCAAGGGCAGAUUUCCCAAUUUUCCAAGAGGG
RNAcentral lists this long non-coding RNA (613 nucleotides) under Fukomys damarensis (Damara mole-rat). RNAcentral's name for it is "lncRNA (ENSFDAG00000028016.1)". The record is from RNAcentral. Lineage: Eukaryota; Metazoa; Chordata; Mammalia; Rodentia; Bathyergidae.